RNAcentral lists this unclassified non-coding RNA (327 nucleotides) under soil metagenome. Its description in RNAcentral is "partial contains 5.8S ribosomal RNA, internal transcribed spacer 2, and large subunit ribosomal RNA". The stretch from base 1 to 120 matches the Rfam family "5.8S ribosomal RNA", at positions 35 to 154 of the family's 154-position model. The record is from RNAcentral.
GAUGAAGAACGUAGCGAAAUGCGAUAAGUAAUGUGAAUUGCAGAAUUCAGUGAAUCAUCGAAUCUUUGAACGCACAUUGCGCCCCUUGGUAUUCCGAGGGGCAUGCCUGUUCGAGCGUCAUUAUAACCCCUCAAGCUCAGCUUGGUGUUGGGGCCUGCCGCACGGGCAGCCCUUAAAAUCAGUGGCGGUGCCAUCUGGCUCUAAGCGUAGUAAUUCUUCUCGCUAUAGAGUCCCGGUGGAUGCUUGCCAUUAACCCCCAAUUUUCUAUGGUUGACCUCGGAUCAGGUAGGGAUACCCGCUGAACUUAAGCAUAUCAAUAAGCGGAGA